GAUGAACGCUGGCGGCGUGCCUAAUACAUGCAAGUCGAACGAAACUUCUUUAUCACCGAGUGCUUGCACUCACCGAUAAAGAGUUGAGUGGCGAACGGGUGAGUAACACGUGGGCAACCUGCCCAAAAGAGGGGGAUAACACUUGGAAACAGGUGCUAAUACCGCAUAACCAUAGUUACCGCAUGGUAACUAUGUAAAAGGUGGCUAUACUACCGCUUUUGGAUGGGCCCGCGGCGCAUUAGCUAGUUGGUAGGGUAAAGGCUUACCAAGGCAAUGAUGCGUAGCCGAAUUGAGAGGUUGAUCGGCCACAUUGGGACUGAGACACGGCCCAAACUCCUACGGGAGGCAGCAGUAGGGAAUCUUCCACAAUGGGCGUAAGCCUGAUGGAGCAACGCCGCGUGGGUGAAGAAGGUCUUCGGAUCGUAAAACCCUGUUGUUAGAGAAGAAAGUGCGUGAGAGUAACUGUUCACGUUUCGACGGUAUCUAACCAGAAAGCCACGGCUAACUACGUG
This 512-nucleotide ribosomal RNA is filed under the name uncultured bacterium. RNAcentral's name for it is "partial 16S ribosomal RNA". It matches the Rfam family "Bacterial small subunit ribosomal RNA", at positions 28 to 507 of the family's 1533-position model. The record is from RNAcentral.